CAUGGAAACUUCAGUUCCACAGACCAAAACUACUCCACCUCCUCCCUGCCUAUCGGAUGAUUUCCCUCCACCACAGGGUUGCCAAAGGGCCCAGAAUUGGUUCGAUUCACCUCCACCACAGGGUUGCCAAAGGGCCCAGAAUGUCUUCCAUUCACCUCCACCACAGGGUUUCCAAAGGGCCAAGGAUUUCAAAUAUUCAGGUUAUCCAGGUACAACUACCAAAGCUGGGCCUGGAAUAUCAGACACUGCCCUGGCUCACAUUCUCAGACCUCUCUCACCGAUGUGUGUGCCGGAAGAUUAUGGUGAAUGGGACUCUGUUGGGAUCACAUGUCCACCCCUGGGACUUCUACGUUUGUUGACUCUUCCCCUGGACAUUUUAAGGCUUUUUUUUAGGCUAUUUUGCCAGAAAAAAAGGAUGCAGUGGAGCAUAGCAUACUUAGAAAAAAACUAACACGUGGAGGACGUGAGCUGAUGCUGGCUGCUGGCACAAUGUCAGAUCCAGACAUAUCCCUUAGGAGGUGGGUGGACUUGAGCUAUCAUUUCAUCAGCAACAGGCCUGGCUAUCUCCAAGACAGAUUCAAUCUCAUGUUAUCACUUUAGCUAUCUGGAUUAUCUCACUAAUCUCGAAAUCCAAAAUGAUAUAGUAACAGGUCACUGAAAACGUACACAUAAAGAGAUUAGUGGUCAUCAAAGUAUGUAGGUUUGCAUUAGAGUAAUUUCAAGUCCAGAUCAAACAGUUCCUCAAAGAGAAGGACAACAUGACAUGGUUGACCCACAUCAGAGUAACUGCAUAACUCAAGGCGAUGUAGAGUUUCUGAGUGGCCAAAGACAUGGCAAGCUGUUGUGUUUGAAAAGGAAAGGAAUCUCCGGUACACUGGUUCUCGUAUGAUCCACAAUGUGUAUAAUGGAUCUCAAAACUCCCCUCUGUUUUCUAUAUAUAGCAUCCAUUACAUUUCAAUCAAUCAAAGAAAUACACCAAACCACUCACAUAAGAAUACAAGUAAAAUGUAUGAGCUUUUAUCUGAGGAUCAAUUGUAUAUUAAGUUGGACCUGUUUCAUUUAGCACAAGUGAAACCAAACUCUUAUCUGUGCUCCAUCCAGUUCAGUAGAAACACAUUUGUUUCCAUCAACAAAGGAUAAAUGCUUACUGCCUCAUUACUCACAUGGCUGCUGAUGUGACC
This is a long non-coding RNA of Coregonus clupeaformis (lake whitefish), 1181 nucleotides long. RefSeq lists it as uncharacterized. NCBI's taxonomy places the organism in Eukaryota, Metazoa, Chordata, Actinopteri, Salmoniformes, Salmonidae. The record is from RefSeq and is a predicted model, not a curated record. The transcript has 4 exons.